UACGUAGGGUGCGAGCGUUAAUCGGAAUUACUGGGCGUAAAGGGCGCGUAGGCGGCCACCGCAAGUCGACUGUGAAAUCUCCGGGCUUAACUCGGAAAGGUCAGCCGAUACUGCGGGGCUAGAGUGCAGAAGGGGCAACUGGAAUUCUCGGUGUAGCGGUGAAAUGCGUAGAUAUCGAGAGGAACACCUGCGGCGAAGGCGGGUUGCUGGGCUGACACUGACGCUGAGGCGCGAAAGCUAGGGGAGCAAACGGG
This 254-nucleotide ribosomal RNA is filed under the name uncultured bacterium. RNAcentral describes it as "partial 16S ribosomal RNA". It matches the Rfam family "Bacterial small subunit ribosomal RNA", at positions 524 to 776 of the family's 1533-position model. The record is from RNAcentral.